RNAcentral lists this transfer RNA (74 nucleotides) under Neobacillus thermocopriae. It matches the Rfam family "tRNA". Rfam says of the family: Transfer RNA (tRNA) molecules are approximately 80 nucleotides in length. Their secondary structure includes four short double-helical elements and three loops (D, anti-codon, and T loops). Further hydrogen bonds mediate the characteristic L-shaped molecular structure. tRNAs have two regions of fundamental functional importance: the anti-codon, which is responsible for specific mRNA codon recognition, and the 3' end, to which the tRNAs corresponding amino acid is attached (by aminoacyl-tRNA synthetases). tRNAs cope with the degeneracy of the genetic code in two manners: having more than one tRNA (with a specific anti-codon) for a particular amino acid; and 'wobble' base-pairing, i.e. permitting non-standard base-pairing at the 3rd anti-codon position. The record is from Rfam by way of RNAcentral. RNAcentral also lists the same sequence under 2 other names. Lineage: Bacteria; Bacillati; Bacillota; Bacilli; Caryophanales; Bacillaceae.
CGGGAAGUAGCUCAGCUUGGUAGAGCACUUGCAUGGGGUGCAAGGGGUCGCAGGUUCGAAUCCUGUCUUUCCGA